UGACCACCCAUCCAUCGGAUGGGUUUAGGCCAUACGGACAGCCGGGUCAACUGCCGA
This 57-nucleotide small RNA is filed under the name uncultured Butyricicoccus sp. RNAcentral's name for it is "Streptococcus sRNA SpF59 (ldcC RNA)". It matches the Rfam family "Streptococcus sRNA SpF59 (ldcC RNA)". The record is from RNAcentral. Lineage: Bacteria; Bacillati; Bacillota; Clostridia; Eubacteriales; Butyricicoccaceae.